AGCAAAAAUGUGAGGAAAGAAAAGUCUCCCAGGAAUCCCCAGCAGACAUUCACGUUUGUCUCAUCGGCCGGCGCGGUGCCUCGUGGCCUCCUCUAGCUGCAAGAGGGGCUGCCCUCGACACAGUCACAACUAGCGGAGGUCCGCUGCCCUAGAGAGCUGCCAGGCCCAGAGGCUGACGUCUCCCAGUCUCAGGUUCUCCGGGAAGCAGCUCAUUGGCCCAGCUGGAGUGAGGUGCCCACACGGGGACCAAUGAACUGUGCUUUGGGGGCUGAGGCUCCUCGUCUGAGCACAGGUGUCCUCCCCCUGCCCCAAGUGCAUGGAGAGUCAUAGCGAAAUAGGCAGAAGAGGCAGCAGAAGAAGACACACGCAGGGUGGUGGCCCCCCGCCUACUCUCCUUUCUUUAACGCAGUGUACGUGGCAAGAGACAGCUUCCCAAUUCCGCGACCGUCAGAGCUGGAAUAGAGCCCCAGCGCCCCUCUUUACUCUGGGGAAACUGAGGCCCUGAGAGGGUAACGAGCCAUGAGCGGCGUCUCCCAUUCAUUGAAAGAGUCAGGACUGAAGCUGAGGCCUCCUGGCUUCGAGCUCUCAAAAUGGGACUUUUCUAGGUCAAGUAAAAAUGUAACUGAGAACGUAGAGCAACAUGAAGCCAUGGGAGAGCUGUGUGAAGAACUGAGACCAGCUCAGAACCAGCUGGCGGAGUGAGGUGACAGAAGGGUUGCAUCUGCAGCGUCUUUUUGUGGAGUCACCAAUCAAAACCGUCGAACCUGACCUUCACUGUCAAGCUUCCAAUUCCACCAUUGUCAUUGGUCAGAGCUGUUCACGCACCACCAACCAGGCGAGGCUAAACCCCAUUGCUAUACCGACAAUUAGAAUAUUCAUAAGGCUUUAAUGAGAAUGGGAAGGAGGAGCAGGAGAGGACAAAGAUGAUAGAACCACAGCAAAACAAAACUAUGGCUCCCGAGUUUUUAUGUUUAAAUGGAUUUGGGAAGUCUCCAGCAGGGGGGGAAAUAGGAGAAACAGCUGAAACACUGCACAGGGAGUUGUGAAAAUUAUGCACUGCAGGCUCUGAACCUUGUGUAACUACCAAAAGCAAGACGCUCCUGGCAGUUAACGUGCCCGUCUUAGGAAAAGGAAGUGGCAAGUCCAGCCUGAACUGGGGUGGAGAAAUGUGGUCGGUGUGGGAUGCAAAAAAAAAAAAAAAGGUGAACAGACAAAAAAAAGUUAGCAAGGACUUGUAAAAAGAGGAACCAGGGUGAACCAAAACAAAGAAAUCUUUGAUGGCUCUUAGCUCUGGGUUUUGCCCUGGAGGCAAGGAGGGCAGGAGCAGCUA
Long non-coding RNA from Phyllostomus hastatus (greater spear-nosed bat), 1330 nucleotides. RefSeq lists it as uncharacterized. The transcript has 3 exons. The record is from RefSeq and is a predicted model, not a curated record. NCBI's taxonomy places the organism in Eukaryota, Metazoa, Chordata, Mammalia, Chiroptera, Phyllostomidae.